GAAGAACGACAUAACAUAGAGAAGGAAAAAAGGCUGUCAUGGCAAUAUUCAAGAAGAACACAAGUGCCCAGUGUUUGUUUGGCUCUUGUGGUCAUGGCGGCUGUCAUUUCGUCUUGUGAUGCGUUUGGCCCAGGUACAUGCAUCUCUGACCUAACUAUAAGUAACUGUGGUUUUGCCAUGUGAUGCUAAUUUUCUAUAUAGUUCACAAUAUUGAGUUGUAUGGAUCUUAUGGCAUCUGGUCCAUGUUGAAGCAUAACUUGACAUAUUGUCUGGGUAUUCUUCUAAACAAUGUUCUUUUUAUGAAUAUGCAGAAGGAGGAUGUUUCAUGCCUUUCUUGCAAUGCGAUCUAGACAUGUGCAGGCGUGACUGCAACGGUUUAUUUGCCUAUUGCACACCGGUAGGAGAAUUUCACCACCGUUGUUGUUGCGCUCCCAAGAAACUCAGUGCAUCUGUUGAUAAGAAUAGUCGUCCUUGAUAUAUGCAUUCCUAAAUUGUAGUUUAUAUGUCACUGCUUUUUCUCGGAUCGAAUGCUACCCGAUUAAAUAAAAUUUAUCGCCAUUGAAAAAAAUACUGCUCCCAAGAUAUUUACGUAUCGUGUGAAACUGUAAUGCUUCGUUUGUAUGUUCAUAUUCAGACUUCGACAUUGAUAUUGGGGCCAAUAUCAAUUUAAUUUGGACAUUGAUAUGGACAUUUAAGAUAAAUUCUGCUCUUUGGAUGUUGAUAUAUUUGAC
RNAcentral lists this long non-coding RNA (731 nucleotides) under Triticum aestivum (bread wheat). Its description in RNAcentral is "long non-coding RNA (TAES_LNC017256)". The record is from RNAcentral. Lineage: Eukaryota; Viridiplantae; Streptophyta; Magnoliopsida; Poales; Poaceae.